CCUACGGGAGGCAGCAGUGAGGAAUAUUGGUCAAUGGGCGCAAGCCUGAACCAGCCAAGCCGCGUGAAGGAUGACUGUCCUACGGGUUGUAAACUUCUUUUAUAAAGGAAUAAAGUGAGGCACGUGUGCCUUUUUGUAUGUACUUUAUGAAUAAGCAUCGGCUAACUCCGUGCCAGCAGCCGCGGUAAUACGGAGGAUCCGAGCGUUAUCCGGAUUUAUUGGGUUUAAAGGGAGCGUCGAUGGGUUGUUAAGUCAGGUGUGAAAGGUUGGGGCUCAACCGUAAAAUUGCAAUUGAUACUGGCAGUCUUGAGUACAGUUGAGGUAGGCGGAAUGCGUGGUGUAGCGGUGAAAUGCUUAGAUAUCACGAAGAACUCCGAUUGCGAAGGCAGCUUACUAAACUGCAACUGACACUGAUGCUCGAAAGUGUGGGUAUCAAACAGGAUUAGAUACCCCUGUAGUC
RNAcentral lists this ribosomal RNA (460 nucleotides) under uncultured bacterium. Its description in RNAcentral is "partial 16S ribosomal RNA". It matches the Rfam family "Bacterial small subunit ribosomal RNA", at positions 338 to 795 of the family's 1533-position model. The record is from RNAcentral.